GUUUAUGGCCAUGCCACACUGAAUAUGCUGAUCUCAUCUGAUCUCAGAAACUAAGCAGGGUUGGGGCUAGUUAGUACUCGGAUGAGAGACCACCUAGGAAGACCAGGUGCUGUAGGCA
Molecule: ribosomal RNA, 118 nt
Filed under: Pteropus alecto (black flying fox)
Lineage: Eukaryota; Metazoa; Chordata; Mammalia; Chiroptera; Pteropodidae
Source: RNAcentral